GGACUACUGGGGUAUCUAAUCCUGUUUGAUCCCCACGCUUUCGUGCCUCAGUGUCAAUGUUCCCGUAGUGAGCUGCCUUCGCAAUUGGUGUUCUAUGUCAUAUCUAAGCAUUUCACCGCUACAUGACAUAUUCCGCUCACCUCCAGAAAAUUCAAGAUAAAUAGUAUCAAUGGCAGUUUCCGAGUUAAGCUCGGAGAUUUCACCACUGACUUACUUACCCACCUACGCACCCUUUAAACCCAGUAAAUCCGGAUAACGCUUGCACCCUCCGUAUUACCGCGGCUGCUGGCAC
RNAcentral lists this ribosomal RNA (292 nucleotides) under uncultured Bacteroidota bacterium. Its description in RNAcentral is "uncultured Bacteroidetes bacterium partial 16S ribosomal RNA". The record is from RNAcentral. Lineage: Bacteria; Pseudomonadati; Bacteroidota.